Molecule: long non-coding RNA, 1738 nt
Organism: Nyctereutes procyonoides (raccoon dog)
Lineage: Eukaryota; Metazoa; Chordata; Mammalia; Carnivora; Canidae
Exons: 3
Source: RefSeq, a predicted model, not a curated record
CCGCGCCGGGCGCCAGCGAGCUGCGGAGAGCUGCUCGCCGGCGCGAGGUAAAGGGGGAAGCCCUGGGCGACGGAGAGGUCGCCGGGACCUGGCCGGCCCAGGUCGGGGUGCCUGCGGACGGCGGGCGUGACCCUGCGGGCCACGGGAGAGGCCGGAGGGGAGACGUUCCGGCGGGAGGCUGGGACGGGGGAGGAGCGUCCAGGAUUUAAGAAGGGUCCGCAGAUGAGACCCGCAGCGAGAGGGAGGAAGGCGACGAGCGACGGCAGAGGCGAGCCCCCCAGAGUAUCCAAUGCUGUCACUUCAAUGUGUUUUAGACCUAUGCCGUCUGGUAGGACCACAUGUGGCUACUGAGUGCUUGAUAUGUAGCUGGCCCAAAUUGAGAUGUGCUUCAUUUAGAAAACAGUUUAGCCUUAUCUGGUGAAGUUGAAGCUGUACAUACUCUGGUCCACUAGUUCCAGUCCCUUGGAAACUUGCUGAUCUGCUGAAGAAGGUUCGGAACAGCUCUGCUCAGAAGAUCCCACCCUGAAGACAAGCCAAAUGUUCCCCCACAGCAAGAUGGAUUGUAUAUAUAUAUAUAUACAUGAAAUAUUAUACAUAAUAUAAUGAAAAUGAACUAACCACCACCACAUGGGACAACAUGGAUGAAUUUUGCAAACUGUGGAAUCAAAGAAGCAAGGCCUAUGAAGCAUAUAUGACGAUUCCAUUGCUAUGUUGAUUUUUAAAACAAAAAUAGACUGAAGUUUUUAGGGAAAUGAAACAAUAAAAACAAUCACCAGUGGUUGCCUGAGAGGGUGACCAGGAAGGGAUGAGGGGGUGGGUGGGCAGGGCUACUAUUUUAAUGUGGUUCAAGGGCAGCCCAGGUGGCUUAAGGAUUUAGCGCCGCCUUCAGUCCAGGGCCUGAUUCUGGAGUCCCAGGAAUGAGUCCCACAUCGGGCUCCCUGUGUGGAGCCUGCUUCUCCCUCUGCCUGUGUCUCUGCCUCUCUCUCUGUGUCUCUCAUGAAUAAAUAAAAUCUUAAAAAAAAAAAAAAAGACACACAGGUAUUCUAAAGCUGAGGCUGCUAAAAGUGUUGCUGGUCAAAUUUUGAUCAUCAGCCCCUGACAGUUCCAAAAGUUCAAGGUCUUGUAGAAUCAUGGCAUCAGAAUGAGUGGCAGCGAGCCAAGUGAGGCUGCUCCAGCUGCUAAAAACACUGUCUUUGAUAUUUGCUGAGUAAGGAAGUUUUCUUGCCUUGACCAAUUUUCACCAUAGUUGAAGACAGGCUAUUGUGGGGGAAAGAUGCCUGAUAAAAUUUAUUUUAGCAGGGACUCCAUGGGUAGGCCUGUUGUUUUUCUUUUAAGAUUAUUCAUUCGUUCAUUCUGAAGAGACAGAGACAGAGAGGCGGAGACAUAGGCAGAUGGAGAAGCAGGCUCCUCAAGGGGAGCCCCAUAUGGGACUUGAUCCCGGGACUCUGGGACCACACCCUGAGCCGAAGGCAAACGCUCAACUACUGAGCCACCCAGGUGUCCCUGAGUAGGCCUGUUUUAAAGCUUUGUAUGAGGGCAGCCCCGGUGGCUCAGCGGUUUAGUGCCGCCUUCAGCCCAGGGCCUAUUCCUGGAGACCUGGGAUUGAGUCCCAUGUUGGGCUUGCUGCAUGGAGCCUGCUUCUCCCGCCACUUGUGUCUCUGCCUCUCUCUCUGUGUCUCUCAUUAAUAAAUAAAAUCUUUUUUUUAAUAAAUAAAAUCUUUAAAAAAAUAAAAAUAAA